Molecule: non-coding RNA, 270 nt
Filed under: Ruminococcus flavefaciens
Lineage: Bacteria; Bacillati; Bacillota; Clostridia; Eubacteriales; Oscillospiraceae
Description: T-box sequence
Rfam family: T-box leader
About the family: Uncharged tRNA acts as the effector for transcription antitermination of genes in the T-box leader family. T-boxes are found upstream of many aminoacyl-tRNA synthetase genes and some amino acid biosynthetic genes usually in Gram-positive bacteria.
Source: RNAcentral
UCAAAUGCGACGACGGAGAGAAGUAGCAUGGAAUUUCGUUCCCAGAGAGUGCGGGUAUGGUGAGAGCCGCAUAUCAGAGUCUGUGUGAAUAACACUCCCGAGCAGCAAACCGAAAGAGUGCCGGAUUCAGCGGAGCUUGCCGAGAAGGGCGGUUCGAUGUAUUCAGUGCUUCAAGUAGGGGCGACGUAUUCCGCACGUUACAGCGGCUCAAAAGUGAUCGCUUUUGCGGUAAUUCAGGUGGCACCACGGGUAUUAUGCCCCGUCCUGUAG